This 591-nucleotide ribosomal RNA is filed under the name Cymatopus malayensis. RNAcentral describes it as "eukaryotic LSU rRNA". It matches the Rfam family "Eukaryotic large subunit ribosomal RNA", at positions 1492 to 1860 of the family's 3401-position model. Lineage: Eukaryota; Metazoa; Arthropoda; Insecta; Diptera; Dolichopodidae. The record is from RNAcentral.
UGAAGUGGAGAAGGGUUUCGUGUGAACAGUGGUUGAUCACGAGUUAGUCGGUCCUAAGUUUAAGGCGAAAGCUGUAGAAAAAUUUAAAGGUUUUCCAAUAAAUAAAAUAUACAAAAAAUAUAUAUACUUAAAGAAUUAUAUAUAAUAAAAUAUAUUAAGUAAUAUUAUUAUAUAUAUAUAUAUAUAUAUAUGUAUAUAUUACUUAAACAUAACAUUUAUAUAUAAAAAGAAAAGUAUAAAAAUUUUUUUAUUUUUAUUUUUGCGAUAAAUUAAAGUACUUUAAAUUUAAAUUAAACGAAAGGGAAUACGGUUCCAAUUCCGUAACCUGUUGAGUAUACGUUUAUAUUAAAUAUGGUCAUUAUGAUCAUCCUGGUAACAGAAACAAUCAUAGAGAAGCCGUCGAGAGGUAUUGGAAGAGUUUUCUUUUCUGUUUUAUAGUUGUACUACCAUGGAAGUCUUUCGAAGAGAGAUAUGGUAGAUGAACUAGAAGAGCAUGGCAUUUACUGCUGUGUCAAUAUUUUCUCCUCGGACCUUGAAAAUCUAUGAUUGGGCCACGUAAACUUCUCAACAGGCCGUACCGAUAUCCGCAGC